CAGAAAAAAUGUCUUCCUGAUAUUCCUGGUACCAGGAAGAAAAGAACAUUCUUGUUACCAGAGAUGAGGCGUUGACACUGAGAUGAGUGUGCACAAGGAAUAAAAUUUAAGAAUGACCCUUAAAUUGUAUUAGUUUCACCCAUAUAUUUCCUAGUCAUGUUCCCGUAGUUUACCACCCCUAUGAACCAAAACCCCUUUCCUUUGUCUAGUUUCUUUUCCACAAUUUAUUGCCCUUUGUUUAUAUGGUAUAUAAUCCCUGAGUCCAACUGCUUCUUUGGGAUUUUCAUGUCUUUCUCGUGAAGCUGCCAUACCAUGUCACACUAUUAACAUCAAAUAAAAUGUGUAUGCUUUUCUUCAGUGAAUUCACAGUUUUCAGGUACAGAAACUAAAAGAGUAGAGGAAAAUUUUUUCCUCCCCUACAGUUGCAGUUAUCUAUCAGAAUUUAUAUUGCUUAUUCUUUUACUCACUCUUUUGUUUAAUAUCCUCCCCAUGAAAAUGUAAGCUCAAUGAAAGUAAGAGGAUUAUUUUUCACCACCGUAUCUAUAGGCCCGGCAUAUAGUAAGUAUUCAAUAAAUAGUUGUUAAAUGAUUGAAUCUGCACAGAGGUGAUAUGAUUUAAGCCCCAAGGAGGCUGAGAUAUCUGAGAGAGAGAAUGUCAACAGAAGAGCCCCACUAACUGACCACUAUUGAUAUAAUAAUUUUAGGUCCCAAAUAUAGGCCAAGGUGCCACAUUACAUGAGCAUCUACUAAAUGCAAUUGAUCUUCUAAAUGAAUUGAUCUUCUUGUUUAAAGAAAAGGAAGACAACUGUGAAGGUUUGAAGGAAGGCAAAGUGAACUACCAGAAAAAGGCAUUGUGAAUAGCACACAGCAGGAGUCUAAAAGUAGAACAAAUAUCAAAGAAAUAAAUUCAAAGAAUAAAAUCCUGAUUUUAAAAAGCAGUUUUAACAUAGACUCCUCAGAAAGGAAAGGGGAAGGGGCUGGGGGGCAGAAAUUAGAUAGUAAGGCACAAUAUCUGUUCAGCAGUGGAUUCAAAUGGAAACUUCCACCAAAUAGUAUAUAUGCAUCUGUUUGUUGGGGAGAAGAAUAGUCAAAAGCAUAUUUUAUUACAUACAAAGUAAAAGAAAGCAAGUGUGAAGCAGUGGCAUUGCUAAGUUGACAGUGAUAACAGUCCUCUAGUAAUAGUGGGUUUACCCAGUUCCAUCACAGCCUCUUAUAUAGUCCAUGAUGGCCUCUUCAAGUUUCAUGUGCUACCUGGCAUUUCCCAUGAAAAGCCUACUGUGGUUGAUCUGGUGUGCUGUUACUAUGGUAAGAAAUUAAAAUGAAUAGAUAUUUAUAGUUUAUAUAGUACCACAGUGAUACUUCUCCCCUGCAAUCAAUAGUUUAUUAGCCAGAAGUGUCUAUCAAGUGUUUGUAUAGUGAUAUAUCAAAGCAGAAAACCAACUUUUUAAAAAACAUGAACUUUUGAAAAUGUAACAGAUGUUACUCACACAUGCUUUGAUACAACAGAAGAACUUUUUAAAGUGACCUAUAAAUAUAGAGGCUGUCUUAAAUAAUCAUAAUAUAAUUUUUUACCAUUUAUGUCUCAUAUUUUCCCACUUAUGGCUAAUAUAAGAAAUACAUUUUUGUGAUUCUUUUUGAGAAUUAGUUUUUUAAAAAAUAUCAUAAGAGAAAUUAUAAAUGGAAAAUUAUGCAAACAUAAAUUUGAUGAGAAGUACUCACCUUGUCAAAAUAGGCCUGUGAUUUAAAAAAAAAUGAAUUUGAAGAGAUUUUUAAUUGCAUCAUCUUUCUGUAUAAUCCAUUUCCACAUCAUUUGAUGGCACUGAUGUCAGUUUUUCAUCACUGUAGUGGCUGAGACACAUUAGAAUAAGACAGCCCUGGAUUCGUAUUCCAGCUCUAACAUGUCCUUCCUGGGUGGGUCACUUAAUCUCUCUGAGCUAAGCUUUUUUCAUCUAUAAAAUUGGGGUCAUAGGAUUAUUAUUGUAAAGAUAAAAUGAGAUAAUGUAUAUAAAACAUCUGGCAUAAAGUAAUGUGCAGUGCAGUCACAGUAAUUAUUAAUUAAAUUCAUCAACAAAUAUUCUGUGCCUUUGUUCUAGGUUCUGGGAAUGUGCAUCAGGGCUGCCUGUGGAUUAUAAAGGUUGUACAUGAAGCAAAUCCACAGGCCACUGUUUGCAACAGUGCACCCUGGAGCUAGCAGGGCACAGUCUAGAGGUCAUAUUUAUAGCCCUAACAGUGGAAAGUAGAAUGGGUAAAGUUUAUACUCUAACGAAAAAAAUAACAUUUAUUAUUAUGACUUCACACUAUCAACACCCUAACAUUCAAUAUAAUAAUAAUUAGUGAAUCACACUUUCACUUUUCAUUUCUUUGCUGUACUUCCAUCUUUGUUAGUCAGUUCACUUUUUUGAUUACCCAUUUUUAGAAAAUGUUACAGGGGUUAAUCACUGGUUGACAAGAAGACAACACAGCUGUACACUUUGCUCUCUGGGGGUAAACUGAAUAACAGAUGUGCAGUGACCAAUCACACACUAUUCUGAAGGAAGUGAUGUAAUUGGUCAUGGAUCAUGAUAUGUGUCUGUUAUUUACUUAGUGAUUUGUCAAGAGCUAGGAGCAAACUUUGUACUUUAUAUGAUUACUUACAGUUAAUAUACCAUGACCAGAGGUUGCAAAAUGGCAGGCCACAGAUUGUGUUACUGAGCCAAACUUUGGUUGGCCUGCCCGGUGCAGCAAAGCCAAACGCUGACAUUGAGAUUUGCAGUGAAAGAAAAUAAGGCAUUUAUUGCAGGGUGCCAAGCAGGGAGAAUUGGGAAGCUCAUGAUUAAGACCUGAACUCCCCGAUGGCUUGCAUGUAGGGGUUUUUAAAGGCAGGAAGGCAGAGGUUUUAAGUAAAGUCAUGAAUCAACACAUAAAGGCUAUACUUUGGUUUGACCUAAAAAGGACGGACAUCUCAAAGCAGGGGCCCACUGGUCAUAGGUAGAUUCAAAGAUUUUCUGAUUUUUUUUGGUUAAGAAGGGAUUGAAGUGUACUUUUAUGCUAUCUGUAAAAAAAAUGCUUAAUAAGUAAAUAAACAUUUUAAGUAAUAGUUGAAAAACAUUUACUUACCAGAGAAAAUAAUUUGUUUUCCAACACUUCAGUUUUCUUUUAUUUAUAAAACACUCUAUUCAAAAUGAAGGCAGUAUGGCAAGUUGGAGGCAAAAAUAUUUUGAGUUGAGGCCCUUCUUGGUAAUGUUGCACUUAAACUAUUUCUUCCUUCACUUACUCACAAAGCUUCACUUUUGCUCCAGCCCGCAAGUUUUCAGAUAACUUUGGGUACACCUUGAUCCAAAUAUAGAAAUACUCUUUGCCAGCCUAACAUGGACUCAGUCAUUCCCAAAGUAAUCACACACCCCUCAGCUUUAUUCAGCAAACUUUACUGAAGGCUUACUGCAUGCUGGCUCACUGUAUGCGUGCUUACUCCCAUGCAAUAUGCAGGCACUCCAACAGUUUAGGGUGUGGACUUGACAAAGAUACCGUGUUACUUAGGCUCUUUUACUUGGCAAGGUACAGAGCAUACUUAGGUUACUUGAGGAGACAGAAAUUGUUAGAAAAACACAUGGAAAACUAUGGAGCUACAAGAAGACUCUUGUAGGUGGCCCGGUCUCACAGAGAACUAGAACAUGGUAUAAUAAUAGUUCUGAAGCUCUCACAGUAUGACAAGAGCUCUGGUCAUCUGGACAUCACCUCAGGUUUGUUUAUCUAUCUAGUGACUGUACAAUUACUGUGACUCAGCCAUUCUCUUAUCUUCCUUAUUUUGCUUCCUUUUGUAACUUUUCUCCACUUCAUGUCUUCUCCUACCUCAUUGCUUCUGUUUUAAGCCUUUACACAUCAUGCCUCUGAGUUUCUGAUGCUCUCUUCUGUCUGUGGCCCACCUUGUGUGACUCUACUCAAAAGCUCCAAGAAAGAGGAUCUGUCCUAAGCAUCUAUUUAAGUUCUGAAAUCAGUUUCCCCAUAAGGAUUCAUAGGGCCUUAGGACCAGGCACCAACACCUAGUUUAACCAGAGGCAUAUUGAUUGUCCUAAGUCUGACAACCGUUGACUUGGUCCCUGGGAUGCUGUAGAGUACCCCUGGGAGAUUUUCUUCUCUACUGAUUUUAGCAAUAGACCUCUCCCUGACCCAAAACAAAAUGACCAGACUAGCCAGAACAGAAUGACAGGUCACCAUAUAUUUAGUGGUAAUUUGGAGGAAAAAAACAGUAUUAGAGGGUUAGGGUACUAAGCACUGAAAGCAACAUGGGAAAAAUAAGGAAGCAAAACUGGCUAAGCCACUAAAAAAACAUGAUCUCAUUUAAUCGAGACCUAAAAGGAUUAUUAUGUGUUCCAAAUGCACCUACCAACAAGAUAAUUGGGAGUCGCAAUGAUAGUUCAUAAAAACUCUGAGUACAAGAGCUGGGGAGUACAAGAGCUGGGAAAUACAUCAUAGGCCGCUUAUCCA
Molecule: long non-coding RNA, 4463 nt
Filed under: Homo sapiens (human)
Lineage: Eukaryota; Metazoa; Chordata; Mammalia; Primates; Hominidae
Description: HSALNT0315585
Source: RNAcentral